RNAcentral lists this transfer RNA (74 nucleotides) under Candidatus Nitrosopumilus sp. RNAcentral describes it as "Nitrosopumilus sp. tRNA-Lys". It matches the Rfam family "tRNA". Rfam says of the family: Transfer RNA (tRNA) molecules are approximately 80 nucleotides in length. Their secondary structure includes four short double-helical elements and three loops (D, anti-codon, and T loops). RNAcentral also lists the same sequence under 4 other names. Lineage: Archaea; Thermoproteati; Nitrososphaerota; Nitrososphaeria; Nitrosopumilales; Nitrosopumilaceae. The record is from RNAcentral.
GGGCCCGUAGCUCAGCCAGGUAGAGUACCGGACUUUUAAUCCGGCUGUCUGGGGUUCGAAUCCCCACGGGCCCG